UACGUAGGGUCCGAGCGUUGUCCGGAAUUACUGGGCGUAAAGCGCGCGCAGGCGGCUUCCCAAGCGCCACGUGAAAGCCCCGGGCUCAACCCGGGAGGGUCGCGGCGAACUGGGAGGCUUGAGGCCGGUAGAGGUGGGUGGAACUCCUGGUGGAGUGGUGAAAUGCGCAGAUAUCAGGAAGAACACCCGUAGCGAAAGCGGCUCUCUGGAACGGUACUGACGCUGAGACGCGAAAGCGUGGGGAGCGAACAGG
Molecule: ribosomal RNA, 253 nt
Filed under: uncultured bacterium
Lineage: Bacteria
Description: partial 16S ribosomal RNA
Rfam family: Bacterial small subunit ribosomal RNA
Source: RNAcentral